AAUAAGAAAGUCCUUACUAUUUCCUUCUUAAUUUAGUACUUAUAUCUCAAUCAAGUAUUUUGAUAUUCUUUUUUUUGUUACACGGAGCCAAAUUACUGAUAAAUCUAUCCCUAAAACACCGAUAAUGCAAGAUUGAGAAAACUCUUAUAAUUUAAACUAUGAAUGAAACUAUUUCCAGAUUCUUCACGAUUUAAGAAACAUAGCACAACAAAGUAUUGUUUUUGAGAAAAAGGAACAUUUCUUAGGACUUUCUUGAGUUCAUAAUCUUCAGAUGCAGACUCUUCUGCCUUGGUUUCAGCCUCGGGAUCUUCACCUUCGUCUUUUUCUUCCUUGACUAUUGCAUCAACGCUAAUGUUGAGUCUGCUCAUAACUUAGAUAGACAUGUGGGAGGAAAAAUCCUUCGGAUCACUAAGACUGAAGCCACUCUCCAUUCAAGUUUCUUGGACAAUUUGUUGUCAAUGCCAAGGAGGACAAUCUUCAUAAGAAACCAAACCUGAUAACAUCAAGUCCACUGUUAUUCGUUCAAUUGUUGGUUGUUAAUAGACUAAAAUGUAUCUAUGCAAAAGCGGGUUGACUUUAGAUAUGAAGGAUAGAUUUUAGCAACCAACAAAAACAGCUUCAUAGCAAGUUGAAGCACAAGAGGAACCAAUUUUUCUUUAUGUUUUGUAAAGGAUGGUUAAAGAUGUUCUCUUUCUUGUUGAAAUUUUAUGAUUGUAUUUAUUUUAAAGUUGAUAAAGAUAAUAUUGUACAA
Long non-coding RNA from Solanum dulcamara, 751 nucleotides. RefSeq lists it as uncharacterized. The record is from RefSeq and is a predicted model, not a curated record. The transcript is spliced from 2 exons. Lineage: Eukaryota; Viridiplantae; Streptophyta; Magnoliopsida; Solanales; Solanaceae.